UGGUACACAUUUGGUGGAGGAACCAGACUGGAUGUUGGAAGUGAAGCCCGUCCCACCUUGAUGGUUCUGCCCCCUUCCAAUGAGGAGCUGCAGCAGGGGAAGGCCACGCUCGUGUGCCUGGCCAACAAGGGCUUCCCCUCAGACUGGAGUCUGGCCUGGAAGGUGGACGGCAUCAGCGGCGGCAGCUGGGAGGAGAGCAGGGGCCCUGCGGUGAUGGAGCAGGACGCUCGUUACAGCUGGAGCAGCACCCUGAGGCUCUCUGCAGGCCAGUGGACGAAGGUGGGCUCUGUGACCUGUGAGGCCACCCAGGGCUCCCAGACGCUGGUCUCAGAGACACUGAGGAGGGACCAGUGUUCCCAGGACUGA
Labrus bergylta (ballan wrasse) is the source of this 366-nucleotide non-coding RNA. The record is from the annotation of a RefSeq genome assembly. NCBI's taxonomy places the organism in Eukaryota, Metazoa, Chordata, Actinopteri, Labriformes, Labridae.